Molecule: ribosomal RNA, 253 nt
Filed under: uncultured bacterium
Lineage: Bacteria
Description: partial 16S ribosomal RNA
Rfam family: Bacterial small subunit ribosomal RNA
Source: RNAcentral
UACGUAGGGGGCUAGCGUUGUCCGGAAUCAUUGGGCGUAAAGAGCGUGUAGGCGGCCCGGUAAGUCCGCUGUAAAAGUCAAAGGCUUAACCUUUGAAUGUCAGUGGAUACUGCCGGGCUAGAGUCCGGAAGAGGCGAGUGGAACUCCUGGUGUAGCGGUGGAAUGCGCAGAUAUCAGGAGGAACACCGGUGGCGAAGGCGGGUCUCUGGGCCGAUACUGACGCCGAGGAGCGAAAGCGUGGGGAGCGAACAGG